Molecule: ribosomal RNA, 472 nt
Filed under: uncultured bacterium
Lineage: Bacteria
Description: SSU rRNA
Rfam family: Bacterial small subunit ribosomal RNA
Source: RNAcentral
AGGACGAACGCUGGCGGCGCGCUUCAAGCAUGCAAGUCGAACGAGAUACCCGGGCUUGCCCGGGUGGAGAGUGGCGAACGGGUGAGUAACACGUGAGGAACCUGCCCCGAAGACCGGGAUAACGCCGGGAAACUGGUGCUAAUACCGGAUGCCCUCGCCGGAUCGCAUGGUCUGGCGAAGAAAUGGAUUCCGCUUCGGGAUGGCCUCGCGGCCUAUCAGCUAGUUGGUGGGGUAACGCCCACCAAGGCAGCGACGGGUAGCUGGUCUGAGAGGAUGUCCAGCCACACUGGGACUGAGACACGGCCCAGACUCCUACGGGAGGCAGCAGCUAGGAAUCUUGCGCAAUGGACGAAAGUCUGACGCAGCGACGCCGCGUGCGGGAUGAAGGCCUUAGGGUCGUAAACCGCUUUCAGCAGGGACGAAAUUGACGGUACCUGCAGAAGAAGCCCGGCAACUACGUGCCAGCAGCCGC